UACAGAGGGUGCAAGCGUUAAUCGGAAUUACUGGGCGUAAAGCGUGCGUAGACGGUCAUGUAAGUCGGGUGUGAAAGCCCCGGGCUCAACCUGGGAAUUGCAUUCGAGACUGCAUGGCUAGGGUGCGGAAGAGGGAAGCGGAAUUUCCGGUGUAGCGGUGAAAUGCGUAGAUAUCGGAAGGAACACCAGUGGCGAAAGCGGCUUCCUGGCCUGUUCUUGACGCUGAGGCGCGAAAGCUAGGGGAGCAAACGGG
RNAcentral lists this ribosomal RNA (253 nucleotides) under uncultured bacterium. RNAcentral's name for it is "partial 16S ribosomal RNA". It matches the Rfam family "Bacterial small subunit ribosomal RNA", at positions 524 to 776 of the family's 1533-position model. The record is from RNAcentral.